Molecule: ribosomal RNA, 305 nt
Filed under: uncultured bacterium
Lineage: Bacteria
Description: bacterial SSU rRNA
Rfam family: Bacterial small subunit ribosomal RNA
Source: RNAcentral
CCUACGGGGGGCAGCAGUGAGGAAUAUUGGUCAAUGGGCGGGAGCUUGAACCAGCCAAGCCGCGUGAGGGAAGAAGGUACAGCGUAUCGUAAACCUCUUUUGUCGGAGAACAAAACCCGGGACGUGUCCCGGACUGCGUGUAUCCGAAGAAAAAGCAUCGGCUAACUCCGUGCCAGCAGCCGCGGUAAUACGGAGGAUGCGAGCGUUAUCCGGAUUUAUUGGGUUUAAAGGGUGCGUAGGCGGUCCGUUAAGUCAGCGGUAAAAUUGCGGGGCUCAACCCUGUCGAGCCGUUGAAACUGGCAGAC